RNAcentral lists this ribosomal RNA (405 nucleotides) under uncultured bacterium. RNAcentral describes it as "bacterial SSU rRNA". It matches the Rfam family "Bacterial small subunit ribosomal RNA", at positions 357 to 776 of the family's 1533-position model. The record is from RNAcentral.
GGGAAUAUUGGGCAAUGGAGGCAACUCUGACCCAGCAACGCCGCGUGAAUGAUGAAGGUCUUCGGAUUGUAAAGUUCUUUUCUAAGGGAAGAAGAAAGUGACGGUACCUUAGGAAUAAGCCUCGGCUAACUACGUGCCAGCAGCCGCGGUAAUACGUAGGAGGCAAGCGUUAUCCGGAAUGACUGGGCGUAAAGGGUGCGUAGGUGGUUUGACAAGUUAGUAGCGCAACUCCGGAGCUCAACUUCGGAACUACUACUAAAACUGUUGAACUUGAGUGCAGGAGGGGCAAUCGGAAUUCCUAGUGUAGCGGUGGAAUGCGUAGAUAUUAGGAGGAACACCAGUGGCGAAGGCGGAUUGCUAGACUGUAACUGACACUGAGGCACGAAAGCGUGGGGAGCAAACAGG